UACGAAGGGGGCUAGCGUUGUUCGGAAUUACUGGGCGUAAAGCGUAUGCAGGCGGAUCGUUAAGUCGGGGGUGAAAUCCCGAGGCUCAACCUCGGAACUGCCUUCGAUACUGGCGAUCUUGAGUCCGGGAGAGGUGAGUGGAACUCCGAGUGUAGAGGUGAAAUUCGUAGAUAGUCGGAAGAACACCAGUGGCGAAGGCGGCUCACUGGCCCGGUACUGACGCUGAGAUACGAAAGCGUGGGGAGCAAACAGG
Molecule: ribosomal RNA, 253 nt
Filed under: uncultured bacterium
Lineage: Bacteria
Description: partial 16S ribosomal RNA
Rfam family: Bacterial small subunit ribosomal RNA
Source: RNAcentral